CAAAAGGUAUUAUUGUAAUUAAGUUGAAGUACUAAAUUAUUGCUCAAUUUUGAGUAAGGGCACCAUUUGACUAAUUCUUUAACUUGGUUUCGUUUUGUCUUCUCUGAGUUUCCGUUACCUUGGGACUUAAUUCGGAUUUCUUUCUCUCUUGUUUUCGUUUUAAAAGUUUGAUCUAUAUUUUUUAUUCUUUUUUUAUAUUUCUACCGUCGAAACAAAUCUGAAAAGUAAAAUUUUUUUUUUACCAAAAGCUAGAAAAUUUUCAUUUACGACAAAAGUAAAUAAACUAAAAGAAUAAGUGAAGACAGCCCAAACACAAAAAUAAUUUAACUUGACAUUGUGUGGGGAUGGCGCUCAACUCGAGACUAGUAUAGGGCUCAUAAAGAAGGAAAGACUAUUGUUACCUCAACUUGAUCACCAACAUGGACGAAGAGCGCGUUUGGCAGGUAGUUGACAGCGACCCAGUUACCGUCUUUCCAGACCUGAAGGCCCGGAACAUCGUUUGGGACGAGCAGGGUAAGAGCGGACAUGUCCGUGUGGGGUUCGACUCCAAGGGCGAGUUCAGGCUGCGGGCAUGGUGGAUACAUGUUUAUUUUCAUUUCGUAUUCUAUUUCUUCGUCCCUCAAACAAUAC
This is a long non-coding RNA of Rhododendron vialii, 630 nucleotides long. RefSeq lists it as uncharacterized. NCBI's taxonomy places the organism in Eukaryota, Viridiplantae, Streptophyta, Magnoliopsida, Ericales, Ericaceae. The record is from RefSeq and is a predicted model, not a curated record. The transcript is spliced from 2 exons.